AGUGAACACUGGAUGAGUCCAUGGUGGGGACUGAGUCCUCCCAGUCCCGACUUCAGAAUAGCCCUGGCCAGGAAUCAGGCCACCUCAGCACUUUUGUUGCCAUUGUUCUUCAUGUCCUAAGCCCUGCCCUCCUCUCCACUUGCUCAAGCCUGCUUAUGGGGAGGACUGAAUGCCUCGCCCCUGUCAACCACAGCCAGUGCUAUGGCUGGAGGGACCAGAAGGAAGCCUGUUCAGUCCAAGGAAGGAGAGGCCACCACGGACCCACCCUGGUGCUCUACAGCUGCUACUUUUGCAGUUGUGCCAGACCUGGCUGAGGAAUGUCCCCAGGACCGCCCCCCUCCAUCCCUCCGGCCCCACCCAGAGGGACUGCAGAAGGAAGCUGCUCCUAUGUGCCCUGCUACCUCACACAUGCUGUUCCAUGGGUCUGCCUUCCACCAGGAUUAAAAAUCUAUGCACCCCCAACACCAGGAGAAAGGUUCUUGGUGCAUUCAUGUCCCUGUGCAGCAAGUGACAGAUGCUCAACAAGGACCCAAGCAGUAUCUGUUUUGGAGAAGUCCCACCCCACGGAUCCCAAACACAACCUGG
Molecule: long non-coding RNA, 585 nt
Filed under: Cricetulus griseus (Chinese hamster)
Lineage: Eukaryota; Metazoa; Chordata; Mammalia; Rodentia; Cricetidae
Description: lncRNA (ENSCGRG00015000375.2)
Source: RNAcentral